AGCGAGGCUAGAGUCACGUCUGGGUAUUUUACUUGUUGCCCUGGCGUGCUAGAGCACUCGUAGAGGAAAUUCUUUGCUUAUUCAUUGGCUGCAGUCUUACGUGGCCCAGUCAAUCACCAGCUCAGAGACACUA
Molecule: small nucleolar RNA, 133 nt
Organism: Cyprinodon variegatus (sheepshead minnow)
Lineage: Eukaryota; Metazoa; Chordata; Actinopteri; Cyprinodontiformes; Cyprinodontidae
Source: Ensembl